This 51-nucleotide ribosomal RNA is filed under the name Heterorhabditis sp. CH3. RNAcentral's name for it is "partial 18S ribosomal RNA". The record is from RNAcentral. Lineage: Eukaryota; Metazoa; Nematoda; Chromadorea; Rhabditida; Heterorhabditidae.
ACUAGUGCAUAUGAGACUUCAGGAAUACUAUUUAUGUAUAUAACCACGUCA